AGGGCAAGUCUGGUGCCAGCAGCCGCGGUAAUUCCAGCUCCAAUAGCGUAUAUUAAAGUUGUUGCAGUUAAAAAGCUCGUAGUUGAAUUUCGGGAUCAAUCUAUCGGUCGUGCAAUAGUACGUACUGAUUUUAUUGAUUCCUCCCUUCUGAUGAACUAUGAUGUCAUUAAUUUGGUGUCAUAGGGAAUCAGGACUGUUACUUUGAAAAAAUUAGAGUGUUUAAAGCAGGCUCACGCUUGAAUACAUUAGCAUGGAAUAACGAAAUAGGACGUUUGAUUCUAUUUUGUUGGUUUCUAGGAUUGACGUAAUGAUUAAUAGGGAUAGUUGGGGGCAUUAGUAUUCAAUUGUCAGAGGUGAAAUUCUUGGAUUUAUUGAAGACUAACUACUGCGAAAGCAUUUGCCAAGGAUGUUUUCAUUAAUCAAGAACGAAAGUUAGGGGAUCGAAGACGAUCAGAUACCGUCGUAGUCUUAACCAUAAACUAUGCCGACUAGGGAUCGGAUGAUGUUAAUUUUUUAAUGACUCAUUCGGCGCCUUACGGGAA
RNAcentral lists this ribosomal RNA (542 nucleotides) under uncultured Glomeromycotina. RNAcentral describes it as "SSU rRNA". It matches the Rfam family "Eukaryotic small subunit ribosomal RNA", at positions 552 to 1096 of the family's 1831-position model. Lineage: Eukaryota; Fungi; Glomeromycota. The record is from RNAcentral.